UACGUAGGGUGCAAGCGUUGUCCGGAAUUAUUGGGCGUAAAGAGCUCGUAGGCGGUUUGUCGCGUCUGCUGUGAAAACCCGAGGCUCAACCUCGGGCCUGCAGUGGGUACGGGCAGACUAGAGUGGCGGUAGGGGAGAUUGGAAUUCCUGGUGUAGCGGUGGAAUGCGCAGAUAUCAGGAGGAACACCAAUGGCGAAGGCAGCACUCUGGGACGUGACUGACGCUGAGACGCGAAAGCGUGGGGAGCAAACAGG
This 254-nucleotide ribosomal RNA is filed under the name uncultured bacterium. Its description in RNAcentral is "partial 16S ribosomal RNA". It matches the Rfam family "Bacterial small subunit ribosomal RNA", at positions 524 to 776 of the family's 1533-position model. The record is from RNAcentral.